This 482-nucleotide ribosomal RNA is filed under the name uncultured bacterium. RNAcentral describes it as "partial 16S ribosomal RNA". It matches the Rfam family "Bacterial small subunit ribosomal RNA", at positions 29 to 507 of the family's 1533-position model. The record is from RNAcentral.
AUUGAACGCUGGCGGCAUGCUUUACACAUGCAAGUCGAACGGUAACAGGCCGCAAGGUGCUGACGAGUGGCGAACGGGUGAGUAAUGCAUCGGAACGUGCCCAGCCGUGGGGGAUAACUACUCGAAAGAGUAGCUAAUACCGCAUACGAUCUAUGGAUGAAAGCGGGGGACCGUAAGGCCUCGCGCGAUUGGAGCGGCCGAUGUCAGAUUAGGUAGUUGGUGGGGUAAAGGCUCACCAAGCCAACGAUCUGUAGCUGGUGUGAGAGGACGACCAGCCACACUGGGAGUGAGACACGGCCGAGACUCCUACGGGAGGCAGCAGUGGGGAAUGUUAGACAAUGGGCGCAAGCCUGAUCCAGCAAUGCCGCGUGCAGGAAGAAGGCCUUCGGGUUGUAAACUGCUUUUGUACGGAACGAAACGGCUCUGGUCAAUACCCGGGGCUAAUGACGGUACCGUAAGAAUAAGCACCGGCUAACUACGUG